This 443-nucleotide ribosomal RNA is filed under the name uncultured bacterium. RNAcentral describes it as "partial 16S ribosomal RNA". It matches the Rfam family "Bacterial small subunit ribosomal RNA", at positions 338 to 795 of the family's 1533-position model. The record is from RNAcentral.
CCUACGGGUGGCAGCAGUGGGGAAUAUUGGGCAAUGGAGGAAACUCUGACCCAGCAACGCCGCGUGAAUGAUGAAGGUCUUCGGAUUGUAAAGUUCUUUUCUAAGGGAAGAAGAAAGUGACGGUACCUUAGGAAUAAGCCUCGGCUAACUACGUGCCAGCCGCCGCGGUAAUACGUAGGAGGCAAGCGUUAGCCGGAUUGACUGGGCGUAAAGGGGGAGUAGGUGGUUUGACAAGUUGGUAGCGAAAGUCCGGGGCUCAACCUCGGCACUACUACCGACACUGUCGGACUUGAGUGCAGGAGGGGCGAAUGGAAUUCCUGGUGUAGCGGUGGAAUGCGUAGAUAUUAGGAGGAACACCAGUGGCGAAGGCGAUUUGCUGGACUGUAACUGACACUGAGGUACGAAAGCGUGGGGAGCAAACAGGAUUAGAUACCCUAGUAGUC